RNAcentral lists this ribosomal RNA (468 nucleotides) under uncultured bacterium. RNAcentral's name for it is "partial 16S ribosomal RNA". It matches the Rfam family "Bacterial small subunit ribosomal RNA", at positions 39 to 507 of the family's 1533-position model. The record is from RNAcentral.
GGGGGGGGGGGGGGGGGGGGGGGGGGGGGGGGGGGCGAGCGGGGGGGGGCGGGUUGGGGGGGGUGGUCGGGGGGCGGACGGGGGCGUAAGGCGGGGGUAACCUGCCCUUGGCGUGGGGAGAACUUCAGGAAACGGGGGCUAAUACCGGGUAGGAGCUCCUGCUGCAUGGUGGGGGUUGGAAAGUUUCGGCGGUUGGGGAUGGACUCGCGGCUUCUCAGCUUGUUGGUGGGGUAGUGGCUUACCAAGGCUUUGACGGGUAGCCGGCCUGAGAGGGUGACCGGCGACAUUGGGACUGAGAUACGGCCCAGACUCCUACGGGAGGCAGCAGUGGGGAAUAUUGCACAAUGGGCGGAAGCCUGAUGCAGCAACGCCGCGUGCGGGAUGACGGCCUUCGGGUUGUAAACCGCUUUUGCCUGUGACGAAGCGUGAGUGACGGUAAUGGGUAAAGAAGCACCGGCUAACUACGUG